CAGUAGCCGCGGUAAUACAGAGGGUGCGAGCGUUAAUCGGAUUUACUGGGCGUAAAGCGUGCGUAGGCGGCUUUUUAAGUCGGAUGUGAAAUCCCCGAGCUUAACUUGGGAAUUGCAUUUGAUACUGGGAAGCUAGAGUAUGGGAGAGGAUGGUAAAAUUCCAAGUGUAGCGGUGAAAUGCGUAGAGAUCUGGAGGAAUACCGAUGGCGAAGGCAGCCAUCUGGCCUAAUACUGACGCUGAGGUACGAAAGCAUGGGGAGCAAACAGGAUUAGAUACCCCCGUAGUCCCUGUCUCUUAUAC
Molecule: ribosomal RNA, 301 nt
Filed under: uncultured bacterium
Lineage: Bacteria
Description: partial 16S ribosomal RNA
Rfam family: Bacterial small subunit ribosomal RNA
Source: RNAcentral